ACCCGCUGAACUUAAGCAUAUCAAUAAGCGGAGGAAAAGAAACCAACAGGGAUUGCCCUAGUAACGGCGAGUGAAGCGGCAACAGCUCAAAUUUGAAAUCUGGCGUCUUUGGCGUCCGAGUUGUAAUUUGCAGAGGGCGCUUUGGCAUUGGCAGCGGUCCAAGUUCCUUGGAACAGGACGUCACAGAGGGUGAGAAUCCCGUACGUGGUCGCUAGCCUUUACCGUGUAAAGCCCCUUCGACGAGUCGAGUUGUUUGGGAAUGCAGCUCUAAAUGGGAGGUAAAUUUCUUCUAAAGCUAAAUACUGGCCAGAGACCGAUAGCGCACAAGUAGAGUGAUCGAAAGAUGAAAAGCACUUUGGAAAGAGAGUUAAAAAGCACGUGAAAUUGUUGAAAGGGGAGCGCUUGCAGCCAGACUUGCCUGUAGUUGCUCAUCCGGGUUUUUACCCGGUGCACUCUUCUAUAGGCAGGCCAGCAUCAGUUUGGGCGGUUGGAUAAAGGUCUCUGUCAUGUACCUCUCUUCGGGGAGAACUUAUAGGGGAGACGACAUGCAACCAGCCCGGACUGAGGUCCGCGCAUCUGCUAGGAUGCUGGCGUAAUGGCUGU
RNAcentral lists this ribosomal RNA (603 nucleotides) under uncultured fungus. RNAcentral describes it as "eukaryotic LSU rRNA". It matches the Rfam family "Eukaryotic large subunit ribosomal RNA", at positions 23 to 641 of the family's 3401-position model. Lineage: Eukaryota; Fungi. The record is from RNAcentral.